RNAcentral lists this unclassified non-coding RNA (232 nucleotides) under uncultured fungus. RNAcentral describes it as "sequence contains ITS1". Lineage: Eukaryota; Fungi. The record is from RNAcentral.
GUAUUGUAUUGCGUUAAACGCGGCAUGCAUUCCAUUAGACUUUAUCACGGCGUGAGUGUAAAGAUGCAGAACCACAGCAGGAGGACAGGUCCCCCCAACCACAGAACUACAGAGGGUGCACAGGGUGUGAGUGGAUGUGUUAACAGAGCGUGCACAUGCCCCCGUUUGAGGACCAGCAACAACUCUUGUUGACAAUUCGGUAAUGAUCCUUCCGCAGGUUCACCUACGGAAA